RNAcentral lists this ribosomal RNA (248 nucleotides) under uncultured bacterium. Its description in RNAcentral is "partial 16S ribosomal RNA". It matches the Rfam family "Bacterial small subunit ribosomal RNA", at positions 524 to 772 of the family's 1533-position model. The record is from RNAcentral.
UACGGAGGGUGCUAGCGUUGUUCGGAAUCACUGGGCGUAAAGCGCGUGUAGGCGGCCCACUAAGUCUGAUGUGAAAGCCCGGGGCUCACCCCCGGAAGCGCAUUGGAAACUGAUGGGCUCGAGUCUCGGAGAGGAGGGUGGAAUUCCUGGUGUAGCGGUGAAAUGCGUAGAUAUCUGGAGGAACACCGGUGCGAAGGCGGCCCCCUGGGCCGAACCUGACGCUGAGGCGCGAAGGCUAGGGGAGCGAA